This is a long non-coding RNA of Gambusia affinis (western mosquitofish), 1766 nucleotides long. RefSeq lists it as uncharacterized. The transcript has 3 exons. Lineage: Eukaryota; Metazoa; Chordata; Actinopteri; Cyprinodontiformes; Poeciliidae. The record is from RefSeq and is a predicted model, not a curated record.
CUAAAAACAGCGCUGAACUUCCUGCAGUUUCUCUCACUUCCUGUUGAGUUGAAUUCAAACCAGGAAGAGAAAAAAACGAGGAUUUUUCUCGAUUUUUCAGCCGGCGCUCGGUGGGAGCAGCUUGAUCCCGACUCCCACAGAAAGGUUAACUCUGGAGAAGUCACAGAAUGAAACACAAACAGAGCUGCAGGUGCACUGGGUUUGCUCCCAGAAUGACCUCUUAAAGAGACGGGCCCUGAGGGGCCGCAGGGCCCGCAGCGUCCGCAGGGACUUGAUGGCUGCCAGGUCGGAGUAGCCCAACGUGUUGGCCACCAGACUGACCAAGGAAACCUGGAGGAUGAGGAGGGAAAGGCAGGAGGAAGAGGAAGAGACACAGAAGAGAGGGAGGAGUUAGCGGCUCUUCUAACGCCGAGAGGAGGAGGAGGAGGAGAGUGUGAGGUCCUGCUGAGGAGGAAGGUCAGCUGUGACCUGAAACAGAGUGCAGGUCACUGCGGCGGUCCAGGGGGCGCUGCAGGCCAGAAACACAGCAGGUUAUUUCUGAUUCACGGGAGGAAAGAAGUCCUGGAAGCAGCGGCGCUCAGGGAGAGGUCUGAACGGACGAGUCUGGGAUCCAAACAGAGGAAACGUUUCAGGUUCUGAUCCACCUGAGACCUUUCCUCUGACGGAACCGCACAGAACCAGGCGGGUCAGCCGGUUCUUACCCUGAUACCAGCGAAGCGGGACGCGGCCCGGAGAGGACGGAGAGCCCUGAACGUCCUGAGAACCCGCAGGGUGGUGACCUGGCUGACCGGGAAGAACUGGGCCAGGUUCAUAGAUGAAGAACUGAAUUCAACACAAUGAAGCUAAAAACUGAAGAGAUGCUGCCGUCCGGAGUUCCACAGGGAUGAUUUCUACGAUUCCUUCUUAUUUGCAUAAAAACCAUUUAAAAACCUGCAGAGCCUCCAGAGCCAACAGGAGGAUGGAGACAAACAUUAACAUCCUGUUUAAAGGUUUUGAAGCCACAACGCUGCAGGAACGACGUUCACCACAAACAGAACUUCAAAAUAAAGUACUGGACCUUCUGACCACUAAACCCAGUAACAGUAACUUUACUGAAUGAAGAAACUUUUUUAACCAAUGAGACGCAGAACCAGAGUUUAGGAUGAAGUGAGACCUCUUGUUUGUGCAAAAUCUUUGUUGCACUGUUUUCAGUAUUAAUAAUUCAUUUCAUAAAUGUUAUAACAGAGUAUAUUUUAUUAGUUUAAUUUUAGUAUUUAAUUUGAUUUUAGUUGUAUUUUUGACAAUUUAUAAAUUAUUAUUAUUAAUUAUUUACUCAUGCAGCCUUUUAUUAACAAAUAUUCUUACUUUGAAAUAUGAAAUGGUAAUAAUCUCAGUCUUAAUAAUUCAUUAUUAAAUCAUUUUGACUUGGAGGCGUCGACAUCUGGAGGUUCGAACACAAAGUUAUUGAUUAGCUCUCAUGUUUGGGUUUUACAUAAACUAAUAAAAUGUCCAGAACCGAGUCUGGUCCAUCUGUGUUUGGUCGUUUUCUGCCCCCUGCUGGUGAAGAGUGAAGCUUCAUCAGGUGAAGUCAGGAGAGUCAGUCACUAAUGAAGCGGCGCUUCGAUCCCGUGUUGCUUCCACAUGUUGGAUCUGAGCGACUCGAUGGCAGCAGGUCGACGGAGCCGAAUCAGAACCACACGACACGUGGUGUCGAUUCUGAAGACGUCCGGGAGAGAGAGAGAGAGAGAGAGAGAGAGAGAGAGAGAGAGAAGGAGAGAGAGAGAGAG